This 643-nucleotide ribosomal RNA is filed under the name uncultured Actinomycetes bacterium. RNAcentral describes it as "bacterial SSU rRNA". It matches the Rfam family "Bacterial small subunit ribosomal RNA", at positions 232 to 885 of the family's 1533-position model. Lineage: Bacteria; Bacillati; Actinomycetota; Actinomycetes. The record is from RNAcentral.
CGCGGCCUAUCAGCUUGUUGGUGGGGUGAUGGCUCACCAAGGCGACGGCGGGUAGCCGGCCUGAGAGGGCGACCGGCCACACUGGGACUGAGACACGGCCCAGACUCCUACGGGAGGCAGCAGUGGGGAAUAUUGCACAAUGGGCGCAAGCCUGAUGCAGCGACGCCGCGUGAGGGAUGGAGGCCUUCGGGUUGUAAACCUCUUUCAGCAGGGAAGAAGCGCAAGUGACGGUACCUGCAGAAGAAGCGCCGGCUAACUACGUGCCAGCAGCCGCGGUAAUACGUAGGGCGCAAGCGUUGUCCGGAAUUAUUGGGCGUAAAGAGCUCGUAGGCGGUUUGUCGCGUCUGCUGUGAAAACCUGAGGCUCAACCUCGGGCUUGCAGUGGGUACGGGCAGACUAGAGUGCGGUAGGGGUGACUGGAAUUCCUGGUGUAGCGGUGGAAUGCGCAGAUAUCAGGAGGAACACCGAUGGCGAAGGCAGGUCACUGGGCCGCAACUGACGCUGAGGAGCGAAAGCAUGGGGAGCGAACAGGAUUAGAUACCCUGGUAGUCCAUGCCGUAAACGUUGGGCACUAGGUGUGGGGCUCAUUCCACGAGUUCCGUGCCGCAGCAAACGCAUUAAGUGCCCCGCCUGGGGAGUACGG